RNAcentral lists this ribosomal RNA (774 nucleotides) under Triticum aestivum (bread wheat). Its description in RNAcentral is "partial small subunit ribosomal RNA". Lineage: Eukaryota; Viridiplantae; Streptophyta; Magnoliopsida; Poales; Poaceae. The record is from RNAcentral.
AUGCCCCGCUAUGGUGACGCAGAGUCAGUUAUGUGGUUCGAUGUUGAACCAUUCUGCAUGUUCCAUCUUAUCAACUGCUUCGAAGAAGGUGAUGAGGUUGUUGUUCAAGGCCUCCGUUCGGCAGACUCCGUCAUACCAGGAUCCGAGCUUAAAAAAGAUGGCAAGGCCAUGAAACAAGGAAUUAAUGAGAAAUUAUUCUCUCGCUUGUUUGAAUGGAGAUUAAACCUGAGAACGAAGACUGUUUCAGGGGAAUAUUUGACUGGCACCGAGUGCUCCUUGGAAUUCCCAAUGAUCAAUAACCACUACACAGGCGUGCGUCAUAGUUAUGGCUACGCACAAAUAGUGGAUUCUUUAACAAGAUCUGCUGGCAGUAGUGAAAAAGUACUCCCAAAGUAUGGGGGCUUUGCAAAACUAUGCCUUGAGGAGAGAGAGAAUACAGAGGUAUGUAUAAAUCAGCUUCAAGAUCUAAUAAAGAUGGAAAUUCAUCGGCUUAGUGAAGAUGAGUUCUGCUCUGGAGCAUCAUUUGUUCAAAGAGUUGGUGGCUCACAUGAAGAUGAUGGAUGGAUAAUUUCUUUUGUACAUAAUGAAAGAACAAAUACGUCACAGGUGCACAUUAUUGAUACCCAAAAAUUUGAAGGAGCUCCUGUUGCAAAAAUAACAUUGCCACAAAGAGUGCCCUAUGGCUUUCAUGGAACUUUUGUCCAUAACAACAUACAUGGGCACGUGAAUACCAGAUCAGAAAAAAAACUGGACAGCUUAAAGUUCAUAUAUUGA